Long non-coding RNA from Eutrema salsugineum, 427 nucleotides. RefSeq lists it as uncharacterized. The transcript has 2 exons. The record is from RefSeq and is a predicted model, not a curated record. Lineage: Eukaryota; Viridiplantae; Streptophyta; Magnoliopsida; Brassicales; Brassicaceae.
AGCAGUACGAGAGAUCACAUCUGCAGUCAUACUCUCAAGCCAAGGCCAAACGUCCACCUCACCGGACGAACCUUUAUCAGAUACUACUAACUUGUCCCAUUCGCCAAUAACCUCACUGCAGCUCUGGUGGAAAGCAGGGUGCUAUGAAAUAGAAGUCAAAACCUUGAUCUUCUCCAGAUGGAAAGCUGGAUUGAUGAUUCUUCGGUGUUUUGCCCAUUUAUCACCAUCAUAACUAACGAGUCCAGUGGCUAUCAAUCUGCCUAAAGGGAAUGUGUGCGUCUUGGUGAAAUCAUUAACUUUGUUGAACACUUCCUUGAUUUGCUCAGGAUCCAUUAUAGUGAUGGUUGGUAUAGGUCCAAUCCAUGUAAAAAAUGUCCUUCCUGUUCCAACAACAAAGAGAUAUAAAAAUGAAAACCUUUCAAAAUCA